RNAcentral lists this ribosomal RNA (1244 nucleotides) under metagenome. RNAcentral's name for it is "bacterial LSU rRNA". It matches the Rfam family "Bacterial large subunit ribosomal RNA", at positions 1633 to 2910 of the family's 2925-position model. The record is from RNAcentral.
AAUUAGUACCAGUACCGUAAACCGACACAGGUAGUUGAGGAGAGAAUCCUAAGGUGCUCGAGAGAUUCAUGGCUAAGGAAUUAGGCAAAAUAGACCUGUAACUUCGGGAGAAAGGUCGCCAGCGCAAGCUGGCCGCAGUGAAGAGGUCCAGGCGACUGUUUAUCAAAAACACAGGGCUCUGCAAAAUCGUAAGAUGAAGUAUAGGGCCUGACACCUGCCCGGUGCUGGAAGGUUAAGAGGAGAUGUUAUCUUCGGAGAAGCAUUGAAUUGAAGCCCCAGUAAACGGCGGCCGUAACAAUAACGGUCCUAAGGUAGCGAAAUUCCUUGUCGGGUAAGUUCCGACCUGCACGAAUGGUGUAACGAUCUGGACACUGUCUCAGCCAUGAGCUCGGUGAAAUUGUAGUAACGGUGAAGAUGCCGUUUACCCGCAGUGGGACGAAAAGACCCUGUGCACCUUUACUAUAGCUUAGUAUUGACCUUGGAUAAAUGAUGUGUAGGAUAGGUUGGAGACUGUGAAGUGGCGUCGCCAGGCGUUGUGGAGUCAUUGUUGAAAUACAACCCUUUGUUUAUCUGAGGCCUAACCCCGUUUUGCGGGGGACAUUGCUUGGUGGGUAGUUUGACUGGGGUGGUCGCCUCCAAAAGAGUAACGGAGGCUUCUAAAGGUUCCCUCAGUACGCUUGGUAACCGUGCGUAGAGUGCAAUGGCAUAAGGGAGCUUGACUGAGAGACAUACAGGUCGAUCAGGUACGAAAGUAGAGCAUAGUGAUCCGGUGGUUCCGCAUGGAAGGGCCAUCGCUCAAAGGAUAAAAGGUACGCCGGGGAUAACAGGCUGAUCUCCCCCAAGAGCUCAUAUCGACGGGGGGGUUUGGCACCUCGAUGUCGGCACGUCACAUCCUGGGGCUGGAGAAGGUCCCAAGGGUUGGGCUGUUCGCCCAUUAAAGUGGCACGCGAGCUGGGUUCAGAACGUCGUGAGACAGUUCGGUCUCUAUCUACUGUGGGCGUUAGAAAUUUGAGUGGAUCUGAUUCUAGUACGAGAGGACCGAAUUGGACAAACCUCUAGUGUAUCUGUUGUCCCGCCAGGGGCACCGCAGAGUAGCUACGUUUGGAAGGGAUAAGCGCUGAAAGCAUAUAAGCGCGAAACCCACCACAAGAUGAGAUUUCUUUUAAGGAUCGUGGAAGAUGACCACGUUGAUAGGCUAUAGAUGUAAAGGCAGUAAUGUCAUAGUCGAGUAGUACUAAUAAUCC